This 407-nucleotide ribosomal RNA is filed under the name uncultured bacterium. Its description in RNAcentral is "partial 16S ribosomal RNA". It matches the Rfam family "Bacterial small subunit ribosomal RNA", at positions 28 to 526 of the family's 1533-position model. The record is from RNAcentral.
GACGAACGCUGGCGGCGUGCCUAAUACAUGCAAGUAGGACGCAGUUGCGAACGGGUGAGUAACGCGUAGGUAACUACCUAUUAGAGGGGGAUAAAUAUUGGAAACGAUAGCUAAUACCGCAUACUAGUAGAUGGACCUGCGUUGUAUUAGCUAGUAGGUUGGGUAAUGGACUACCUAGGCAACGAUACAUAGGCGACCUGGAAGGGGUGUCGGCCACCAUGGGACUGGGGCACGGGCCAAACUCCCACGGGGGGCAGCAGUAGGGAAUCUUCGGCAAUGGGGGGAACCCUGACCGAGCAACGCCGCGUGGGUGAAGAAGGUUUUCGGGUCGUAAAGCUCUGUUGUUAAGGAAGCGGUACUUAACCAGAAAGGGACGGCUAACUACGUGCCAGCAGCCGCGGUAAUAC